UCCCUGUUGGCUAAGAUGGUAAAGAAUCUGCCUGCAAUGCAGGAGACCUGGGUUCCAUCCCUAGGUUGGAAA
Bos taurus (domestic cattle) is the source of this 72-nucleotide non-coding RNA. The record is from Rfam. Lineage: Eukaryota; Metazoa; Chordata; Mammalia; Artiodactyla; Bovidae.